Molecule: ribosomal RNA, 427 nt
Filed under: uncultured bacterium
Lineage: Bacteria
Description: partial 16S ribosomal RNA
Rfam family: Bacterial small subunit ribosomal RNA
Source: RNAcentral
UGGGGAAUAUUGCACAAUGGGCGCAAGCCUGAUGCAGCCAUGCCGCGUGUAUGAAGAAGGCCUUCGGGUUGUAAAGUACUUUCAGCGGGGAGGAAGGUGUUGUGGUUAAUAACCACAGCAAUUGACGUUACCCGCAGAAGAAGCACCGGCUAACUCCGUGCCAGCAGCCGCGGUAAUACGGAGGGUGCAAGCGUUAAUCGGAAUUACUGGGCGUAAAGCGCACGCAGGCGGUCUGUCAAGUCGGAUGUGAAAUCCCCGGGCUCAACCUGGGAACUGCAUCCGAAACCGGCAGGCUUGAGUCUUGUAGAGGGGGGUAGAAUUCCAGGUGUAGCGGUGAAAUGCGUAGAGAUCUGGAGGAAUACCGGUGGCGAAGGCGGCCCCCUGGACAAAGACUGACGCUCAGGUGCGAAAGCGUGGGGAUCAAACA